This is a long non-coding RNA of Rhincodon typus (whale shark), 184 nucleotides long. RefSeq lists it as uncharacterized. NCBI's taxonomy places the organism in Eukaryota, Metazoa, Chordata, Chondrichthyes, Orectolobiformes, Rhincodontidae. The record is from RefSeq and is a predicted model, not a curated record. The transcript has 2 exons.
UUGACGAGCAUUUCCUCAGUGAGUGGAAGAGGUUUGUUUGAAACAGACCGCAAUGGAGAGACCAGCGCCCAGGGAAGCGAGGGUGCAGCAGGCUCCUUCCAGCAGCACAUCGAGAUGAACAAGACAAUGUAAUAUUUGCUCAGUACAAAGCCAAGGGUGACCAGCUGCUCCUAACAAACAGCAG